This 492-nucleotide ribosomal RNA is filed under the name uncultured bacterium. Its description in RNAcentral is "partial 16S ribosomal RNA". It matches the Rfam family "Bacterial small subunit ribosomal RNA", at positions 29 to 507 of the family's 1533-position model. The record is from RNAcentral.
AGUGAACGCUGGCGGUAGGCCUAACACAUGCAAGUCGAACGGCAGCACAGUAAGAGCUUGCUCUUACGGGUGGCGAGUGGCGGACGGGUGAGGAAUACAUCGGAAUCUACUUUUUCGUGGGGGAUAACGUAGGGAAACUUACGCUAAUACCGCAUGCGACCUACGGGUGAAAGCAGGGGAUCUUCGGACCUUGCGCGAUUGAAUGAGCCGAUGUCGGAUUAGCUAGUUGGCGGGGUAAAGGCCCACCAAGGCGACGAUCCGUAGCUGGUCUGAGAGGAUGAUCAGCCACACUGGAACUGAGACACGGUCCAGACUCCUACGGGAGGCAGCAGUGGGGAAUAUUGGACAAUGGGCGCAAGCCUAAUCCAGCCAUACCGCGUGGGUGAAGAAGGCCUUCGGGUUGUAAAGCCCUUUUGUUGGGAAAGAAAAGCAGCAGGUUAAUACCCCGCUGUUCUGACGGUACCCAAAGAAUAAGCACCGGCUAACUUCGUG